CUUUCCGUAGUCCUUGCCUAGAAGAUCCAGGACAUUUUCGUUGUAUAUUUCGAUGUAGGAUAUGCGCACCAUGUACUCCCGCUCAGGCAUCUGUCAAAAGAAAAUGCACAUUCUGAUGGGAUUUUUGCCAUUCUUUAUCUCCCUGGAAGAGGAAAAAUUCAUUGAUAAGCAAAGUAAGAGAUUGAAGAAGAUGUCAGACCUACCUCAUGGACUUUCACAGGUACAAUUCCUGAAAAGCAG
Rhipicephalus sanguineus (brown dog tick) is the source of this 240-nucleotide long non-coding RNA. RefSeq lists it as uncharacterized. Lineage: Eukaryota; Metazoa; Arthropoda; Arachnida; Ixodida; Ixodidae. The transcript has 3 exons. The record is from RefSeq and is a predicted model, not a curated record.